RNAcentral lists this unclassified non-coding RNA (582 nucleotides) under Hevea brasiliensis (rubber tree). Lineage: Eukaryota; Viridiplantae; Streptophyta; Magnoliopsida; Malpighiales; Euphorbiaceae. The record is from RNAcentral.
AGUACAACAAAAUAAUAUCUAAGCAAUGGGAAAUUCACUUAUGAUAGUUCAAUCACACGACUGGGUUCCAACUGCUGAUCCAAUUGGACAUCAUCUCCACAUUUUUGCUAAUGUCUUCAAUAGAAUCACUUCUCAGUGCCACAACUAUAUCCUCUGGAUAACUGUCUUUUGCCUCCUCUAGCAAAAUUUGAAAUAUUUCGCAUUCGAUAUUAUUGGUGAGCUUUUGGCCUGUGUAACCCCUUCUACUUAAUCUAUCAUACAAGACAGUAUUGUCGGUUUGAAGAACCACUACCCUGUCGAACCAACGUUCAGGAAAGAAAUCACAGCCAUGAUGAUCAACAAUGUUUCCACCUGUUUCCAUCAUGUCCUCGAGCUCAUCACAUACAAGGUCUUCAUUGAUGAUGUAACAGUCCAAGGUAUCGUCCCAUCCGUCGUGCAACUUUUUCUCUUUCACCAGUUCACCGAUGUUGAUAUGCCGGAGCUGCGUCGCCUCCGCCAGUGCAGACGACGUCGUCGUUUUUCCGGUGCCCGGCGUUCCGGUUAUCAGUAUGUUAGGUCUUCUCCUGCUACUGCUAUUGUGCG